CCUACGGGAGGCUGCAGUGGGGAAUAUUGCACAAUGGGGGAAACACUGAUGCAGCAACGCCGCGUGAAGGAAGAAGGUAUACGGAUUGUAAACCUCUGUUCUUCGUGAAGAAUAAUGACGGUAGCUAAGGCGCAAGACACGGCUAACUACGUGCCCGCAGCCGAGGUAAUACGGAGGUGGCGAGCGUUGUCCGGAAUUACUGGGUGUAAAGGGAGCGCAGGCGGGAAGACAAGUCAGCUGUGAAAGCUACGGGCUUAACUUGUAGACUGCAGUUGAAACUGGUGUUCUUGAGUGAAGUAGAGGAUGGCGGAAGUCCGGUGGUAGCGGUGAAAGGCGUAGAUACUCGGAGGAACACCGGUGGCGAAGGCGGCCAACGGGGCUUUA
This 384-nucleotide ribosomal RNA is filed under the name uncultured bacterium. RNAcentral's name for it is "partial 16S ribosomal RNA". It matches the Rfam family "Bacterial small subunit ribosomal RNA", at positions 338 to 738 of the family's 1533-position model. The record is from RNAcentral.